RNA transcript from Strigops habroptila (Kakapo), 1008 nucleotides. It is a transcript of the gene named interleukin-8-like, with no coding region annotated. The record is from RefSeq and is a predicted model, not a curated record. The transcript is spliced from 4 exons. NCBI's taxonomy places the organism in Eukaryota, Metazoa, Chordata, Aves, Psittaciformes, Psittacidae.
UCGAACGGGCGAGCUGGCUCCUGGGCUGCCUGACCAGCCUUCGCUCGGGGAACGCGGAGCCCCGCUGCUCCUCUCCCUGCGCCAGCAGUAGCGGCGCAUCGCGGCCGUGCGGGCCUUGCCCUGCCGCACACCCCUCGCUGCUGCUCUGCAAACUAAACGCAGCCGGGGCCGGGCAGCCCGGCAGGACAGAGCGGGGGCUCCUGCGGGCCGCGCGUAGCGAGCGGGCGGCGACGGGAGACGCCUGGGCCGGGCGCGGCUCUACUGGAGGCGGGGCCUGGGCGCUGAGCCAUCCUGGAGGUGAAUGGAAACCUGAACUGUAGGUGUGUAAAGGCAACCUCAGACUACAUUAGUCCGAAGAGAUAUGAAAGCAUUGAGAUAAGACCCGUGGGGAGCACCUGCAGGCGUACAGAGAUCAUAAUUAAGCUAAAAACCUCAGGGAAGGUGUGUGUGAAUCCUGAUGCCCCUUGGGUAAAGAAGCUGCUGAAGCGUAUCGCUAGCACGAAGAAAAAAUAAGUUUCCUGUGAAGGAAGUUGAUGCUCAGAGCCCCGAGGUGGGCUGGCAGAUGAUGCACAGGAACCUGGUUGCUCCCCACUUUGCCCUCGCUUCCCUCCCUCGUCCCGAAAGUCCCGUGUCCAGCCCCAGCGGCGGCCGCUGCAGGGAGGGCAGCUCACUGAUGACCCAGCCCCAUGGCAGGUUCUGGAGGUGUUUCCCCCCUGCAUUCAGUCCCUGGAUGAACGUGAAUGUGAACCCUUCAUUUCUUUAUUCAAUCAUAGGCUGUAAAGGGGCCGCUCCUGCCUCUGUAGGAACAACUUUGUGACUCUUUCUGUGCAGAGCGCUCAUUGACACGGUGUGUCUGUUGUUUUUAUUACACAGCGUGGCAUGUCCUGGCCUGAGGGCUCAAGUCAAAUAAAAUUCAGGGUGUUUUCCAUUUGUUGUAGUUUCCCUGGAUCUCCCAGCCUUGAUAAACCCCACCGCUGUAGCCUUCCUGGAGCUCAAAUUCCAUCUUUU